UUAAGUUCAGCGGGUAGUCCUACCUGAUUUGAGGUCAAGAUGGUCAAUACAUAUGAGGUUUAGAAAGCAGCAUCAAGCAGAUGUCCAGGAUGUAGAUAAUUAUCACACCUGUAGACAGUUCCACCAAGGUACUUGCUAAUAAAUUUCAGGGGAGCAGACUACAAAAAAGAGCCCACAACAGUUUCCCCCCCAAAUCCAAG
Molecule: unclassified non-coding RNA, 200 nt
Filed under: Inocybe sp.
Lineage: Eukaryota; Fungi; Basidiomycota; Agaricomycetes; Agaricales; Inocybaceae
Description: partial internal transcribed spacer 2
Source: RNAcentral